CGGGGGGAGCAAGCGUUGUUCGGAUUUACUGGGCGUAAAGGGCGCGUAGGCGGCCUCUGCAAGUCGACUGUGAAAUCUCCGGGCUUAACCCGGAAAGGUCAGCCGAUACUGCAGGGCUAGAGUGCAGAAGGGGCAACUGGAAUUCUCGGUGUAGCGGUGAAAUGCGUAGAUAUCGAGAGGAACACCUGCGGCGAAGGCGGGUUGCUGGGCUGACACUGACGCUGAAGCGCGAAAGCUAGGGGAGCGAACGGGAUUAGAUACCCCGGUAGUCCUAGCCUUAAACGAUGAAUGCUAGGUGUCUGGGGUUUUAUAGUCCCCGGGUGCCGUCGCUAACGCUUUAAGCAUUCCGCCUGGGGAGUACGGUCGCAAGACUG
RNAcentral lists this ribosomal RNA (374 nucleotides) under uncultured organism. RNAcentral's name for it is "bacterial SSU rRNA". It matches the Rfam family "Bacterial small subunit ribosomal RNA", at positions 526 to 896 of the family's 1533-position model. The record is from RNAcentral.